CCUACGGGGGGCUGCAGCCAAGAAUAUUCCGCAAUGGGGGAAACCCUGACGGAGCGACGCCGCGUGAGGGAUGGAGGCCUUCGGGUUGUAAACCUCUUUUAUUAGGGAAGAAUAAGGCUGGGAGUGGAAAGCCCAGCCGAUGACGGUACCUAUUGAAUAAGCCCCGGCUAAUUACGUGCCAGCAGCCGCGGUAAUACGUAGGGGGCGAGCGUUGCUCGGAUUUACUGGGUGUAAAGGGCGUGUAGGCGGCUUUGCAAGUCGAAAGUGAAAAGUUACGGCUCAACCGUAACAUCGCGUUCGAAACUGCGAAGCUAGAGUUUUGUGGAGGGUGAUGGAACUCCCGGUGUAGCGGUGAAAUGCGUAGAGAUCGGGAAGAACACCAAAGGCGAAGGCAGUCAUCCAUGCAAGAACUGACGCUGAGGCGCGAAAGCGUGGGGAGCAAACAGGAUUAGAUACCCUGGUAGUC
Molecule: ribosomal RNA, 466 nt
Filed under: uncultured microorganism
Description: bacterial SSU rRNA
Rfam family: Bacterial small subunit ribosomal RNA
Source: RNAcentral